This 228-nucleotide long non-coding RNA is filed under the name Homo sapiens (human). RNAcentral's name for it is "non-protein coding lnc-CUL1-3:1". Lineage: Eukaryota; Metazoa; Chordata; Mammalia; Primates; Hominidae. The record is from RNAcentral.
UUGGGAGGCGGAGCUUGCAGUGAGCCUAGAUCGUGCCACUGCACUCCAGCCUGGUGACACUGCCAUGCUUUGAUAAUUCCACACCACAGAGAGGCCAUGAGCUGGUCCACACCCUAGCUGAGCCCCCAGCCAGUGACGGCAUCAACUGCAGCCAUGUGAGUGCAUCAUCUUGGAUGCAGCCCUGUUGAGCCUUCAGGUGAUGCCAGCUCCAGCCACUCUCUGCAGUAC